RNAcentral lists this unclassified non-coding RNA (149 nucleotides) under uncultured Xylariales. RNAcentral also lists the same sequence under 1 other name. Lineage: Eukaryota; Fungi; Ascomycota; Sordariomycetes; Xylariales. The record is from RNAcentral.
CUGAGUUAUCUAACUCCCAAACCAUUGUGAACUUACCACUGUUGCCUCGGCGGCGACCUCCUUCUGUUUGUUCAGUUGGGGAAAACCGCCGGUGGACUACUAAACUCUUGUUAAUUUUUGUCAAUCUGAAUAAAAAACUUAAUAAGUUA